This 73-nucleotide transfer RNA is filed under the name Phaeophyceae sp. Its description in RNAcentral is "tRNA-Asn". It matches the Rfam family "tRNA". From Rfam's summary of the family: Transfer RNA (tRNA) molecules are approximately 80 nucleotides in length. Their secondary structure includes four short double-helical elements and three loops (D, anti-codon, and T loops). Further hydrogen bonds mediate the characteristic L-shaped molecular structure. tRNAs have two regions of fundamental functional importance: the anti-codon, which is responsible for specific mRNA codon recognition, and the 3' end, to which the tRNAs corresponding amino acid is attached (by aminoacyl-tRNA synthetases). tRNAs cope with the degeneracy of the genetic code in two manners: having more than one tRNA (with a specific anti-codon) for a particular amino acid; and 'wobble' base-pairing, i.e. permitting non-standard base-pairing at the 3rd anti-codon position. The record is from RNAcentral. Lineage: Eukaryota; Phaeophyceae.
UCUUUGGUAGCUCAGUUGGUAGAGCAUGUGGCUGUUAACCACAUUGUCGUUGGUUCAAGCCCAUCCCAGGGAU